RNAcentral lists this ribosomal RNA (254 nucleotides) under uncultured bacterium. RNAcentral's name for it is "partial 16S ribosomal RNA". It matches the Rfam family "Bacterial small subunit ribosomal RNA", at positions 524 to 776 of the family's 1533-position model. The record is from RNAcentral.
UACGUAGGUGGCGAGCGUUGUCCGGAUUUACUGGGCGUAAAGCGCGCGCAGGCGGCGGUUUAAGUCCUCUGUGAAAUCGCCCGGCUCAACUGGGUGGCUGCGGAGGAGACUGGAUUGCUAGAGGGGCCUAGAGGCCGGUGGAACUCCCGGUGUAGUGGUGAAAUGCGUAGAGAUCGGGAAGAACACCAGUGGCGAAGGCGGCCGGCUGGGGGGCGCCCUGACGCUGAGGCGCGAGAGCGUGGGGAGCAAACCGG